UGGGGAAUAUUGGACAAUGGGCGAAAGCCUGAUCCAGCCAUGCCGCGUGUGUGAAGAAGGCCUUAUGGUUGUAAAGCACUUUAAGCGAGGAGGAGGGUACUGGUAUUAAUACUACCAGGUACUGGACGUUACUCGCAGAAUAAGCACCGGCUAACUCUGUGCCAGCAUCCGCGGUAAUACAGAGGGUGCGAGCGUUAAUCGGAUUUACUGGGCGUAAAGCGUGCGUAGGCGGCUAAUUGAGUCGGAUGUGAAAUCCCCGAGCUUAACUUGGGAAUUGCAUUCGAUACUGGUUAGCGAGAGUGUGGGAGAGGAGGGUAGAAUUCCAGGUGUAGCGGUGAAAUGCGUAGAGAUCUGGAGGAAUACCGAUGGCGAAGGCAGCCAUCUGGCCUAACACUGACGCUGAGGUACGAAAGCAUGGGGAGCAAACAGG
Molecule: ribosomal RNA, 430 nt
Filed under: Pseudomonadota bacterium
Lineage: Bacteria; Pseudomonadati; Pseudomonadota
Description: Proteobacteria bacterium partial 16S ribosomal RNA
Rfam family: Bacterial small subunit ribosomal RNA
Source: RNAcentral